Molecule: ribosomal RNA, 1297 nt
Filed under: Lactobacillus acidophilus
Lineage: Bacteria; Bacillati; Bacillota; Bacilli; Lactobacillales; Lactobacillaceae
Description: bacterial SSU rRNA
Rfam family: Bacterial small subunit ribosomal RNA
Source: RNAcentral
GACGAUGGGAACGCGAGCGGCGGAUGGGUGAGUAACACGUGGGGAACCUGCCCCAUAGUCUGGGAUACCACUUGGAAACAGGUGCUAAUACCGGAUAAGAAAGCAGAUCGCAUGAUCAGCUUAUAAAAGGCGGCGUAAGCUGUCGCUAUGGGAUGGCCCCGCGGUGCAUUAGCUAGUUGGUAGGGUAACGGCCUACCAAGGCAAUGAUGCAUAGCCGAGUUGAGAGACUGAUCGGCCACAUUGGGACUGAGACACGGCCCAAACUCCUACGGGAGGCAGCAGUAGGGAAUCUUCCACAAUGGACGAAAGUCUGAUGGAGCAACGCCGCGUGAGUGAAGAAGGUUUUCGGAUCGUAAAGCUCUGUUGUUGGUGAAGAAGGAUAGAGGUAGUAACUGGCCUUUAUUUGACGGUAAUCAACCAGAAAGUCACGGCUAACUACGUGCCAGCAGCCGCGGUAAUACGUAGGUGGCAAGCGUUGUCCGGAUUUAUUGGGCGUAAAGCGAGCGCAGGCGGAAGAAUAAGUCUGAUGUGAAAGCCCUCGGCUUAACCGAGGAACUGCAUCGGAAACUGUUUUUCUUGAGUGCAGAAGAGGAGAGUGGAACUCCAUGUGUAGCGGUGGAAUGCGUAGAUAUAUGGAAGAACACCAGUGGCGAAGGCGGCUCUCUGGUCUGCAACUGACGCUGAGGCUCGAAAGCAUGGGUAGCGAACAGGAUUAGAUACCCUGGUAGUCCAUGCCGUAAACGAUGAGUGCUAAGUGUUGGGAGGUUUCCGCCUCUCAGUGCUGCAGCUAACGCAUUAAGCACUCCGCCUGGGGGAGUACGACCGCAAGGUUGAAACUCAAAGGAAUUGACGGGGGCCCGCACAAGCGGUGGAGCAUGUGGUUUAAUUCGAAGCAACGCGAAGAACCUUACCAGGUCUUGACAUCUAGUGCAAUCCGUAGAGAUACGGAGUUCCCUUCGGGGACACUAAGCCAGGUGGUGCAUGGCUGUCGUCAGCUCGUGUCGUGAGAUGUUGGGUUAAGUCCCGCAACGAGCGCAACCCUUGUCAUUAGUUGCCAGCAUUAAGUUGGGCACUCUAAUGAGACUGCCGGUGACAAACCGGAGGAAGGUGGGGAUGACGUCAAGUCAUCAUGCCCCUUAUGACCUGGGCUACACACGUGCUACAAUGGACAGUACAACGAGGAGCAAGCCUGCGAAGGGAAGCGAAUCUCUUAAAGCUGUUCUCAGUUCGGACUGCAGUCUGCAACUCGACUGCACGAAGCUGGAAUCGCUAGUAAUCGCGGAUCAGCACGCCGCGG